This is a long non-coding RNA of Herpailurus yagouaroundi (jaguarundi), 546 nucleotides long. RefSeq lists it as uncharacterized. The transcript has 2 exons. The record is from RefSeq and is a predicted model, not a curated record. Lineage: Eukaryota; Metazoa; Chordata; Mammalia; Carnivora; Felidae.
GGCCUUGGGUGAGUCACUGAGCCUCCCACAGCCUCAGCUUUCCCGCUUGUCAAGAAGGGAAAACAACAGUGUCCUCUCUUUGAGGCCUUUUCACACCAGUUGCCAGAUCUUGUUACCAGACAGAGCAGAUCAGAACUUACUGAAAACUAUCCCUCGGCUCCUGGUGGUUUCCAGUUUCUUCUCUGAAAGAGAGGGACCCUCCCAAGCGGGCCUCCAUCUUGCUUGCCUGGCAUUGUCCCCUCAUUCCAAUCAUGCGAAAUUCCCCGUGUCUCCGGAGCCGUCCGUCACGCUGCGUCCUGCCCCUGCCGGGACUUGAGCCACUUUCUCUGCCCUCCGCUGACUCGUACUUGCUUUUUCACUUGACAAAAACCCCAGAGCUUUUUUGCACCUUCACACACAGAGAGCUUCCGCAUUCUUUUCACAGCUUCAUGGUAGUCCAUCACGGGGACAUGCCGUAGGCUCAGCCCGUCCCACGCUGAUGGACAGACAAGGUGUUCCCAAUCUGUUCCUACCACAACAGUGCAGCCGUGAAUGCUCUUGUGCGCA